This is a long non-coding RNA of Gasterosteus aculeatus (three-spined stickleback), 3561 nucleotides long. The record is from Ensembl. NCBI's taxonomy places the organism in Eukaryota, Metazoa, Chordata, Actinopteri, Perciformes, Gasterosteidae.
CAGCUGCUACGCAGGUGUCGGACUUCCAGCCCGGACUCGUCAGUCGUCGUCCGCGUCGUCCCCCUCGGACUCGUCCCGCCUCUCGUACCCCUUGUCCCGCUGCCGCUCCUGGAUCUCCUUCAUCUCCUCCGCGUAGCGGCUGAAGGCCCCCCCGAACUUUCCCCAGGCCUUGAACGGGACGGUGAUAGAGUUCCGGUAGCUGGGCUUCACCUCGCUCACCCGCAGGAACACGCCGUAUUUGUUGGAGCCCACGUCGAAGAAGAAGCGCUUGGAGUCCACCAUGAUGGAGGUGCCCUCGUCUAUGAGCUUAGCCAGCGCGUCCCGGAACUCGAUGAGCCCCUGGGCCGGCAGCGCGAUGGUCUGGCCGGACAGCAUGCCGCCCGCGGGGCCCCCCGCGCCGAAGCCCGGUCCGCGGUUGACGGUCUGCCGGAUGCGGAGGAACCUCCCCCGCUGGUUCUCCUUCAGGUCCAGGUAGUACUUGCGGUUCUCCCGCACGAGGAACUCGCUCUUGAGAGCCCGCCGCGGCCCGCCGUCCUCCCCCGCGGUGGCCUGGGCGAUCUGCUCCGGGCUGCUAGGCCCGAGCUGGGCGUAGUGCUCGAUGAAGUCCCCGAGGUAGUCGCGGAACUCGGCCGCCACCGAGAGGGAGAGCGUCAGGCGGCUCUUGGAGCCUCCGGCCCCGACCUCGGCGAUCUUGAUGAACCGGCCCUUGCUGUUCUGCUUGACGUCCAGGUAGAAGCGCUUGUUCUGGAUGUCGAGGCGCUUGGACGCCAGCUCCUGGGUCUCCUGGUCCCGCUGGUAGUGCUGGAAGCCGCCGCGCUCACUCCCGCUGUCGCCAUCCGCCAUCUUCAGCUCCACCAUUCGGCUUCUGCGCCUCUCUCCUGCGUAGCUGCUCCCCGCGCGCGCCCCUCACGCUCCGCGCGCAAGCACGCCAGCGAGCGUCGCGAUUGGCCCGGCCGCCUGUCACUCACACGGUUGCGGCUCUCUUAUUGGUUGCUUGUUUUUAGGUGUCACACCCACUUGUAAAAUCUCUCGUUAGCCAUUGGCCAGAUUGAGCUUCCGCUUAGUUUCUAAAGUAUCUGUUUUUAUAGCAAUGUUAUGAGGAAAAUUAGUUAUUUUCUGGAUUCAACUGGUAAAAUCUGUCAACAUACUUUAAAUGUCCCUUAAUCUCGUUUGCCAUGUUUUAAAUGAUACUAAUACUGUAUUCCCAGUGAUUGUUAAUGGUGGAGUAAUUUAAGAUUUAAUAGCAAUACAACAGCAUAAAUACUAAAGUAAAGAUGCUACUUUCAACAUGCAAAUUAAAAAUUAAACUACACAUGUAUUUUAGUAAAGUACUACAAGUAAAAGUACACACUAUGCAGAGUGUUGUGUUAUAAUAUUAUAAUAUGAACAUUAUCAUGCACAUUAAUUUGAAUUACAUCCUCAUUUAAGUUGUGUAUUAUUAGGUUGAAUCUGAAAAGUAACUUAUUCAAAUACAUGUAGUGGAGUAAAAAGUACAUUAUCUCUGGAGGUAGUGAAGUAAAAAAAAAAUUACAAUAUGUUACUAUGAGAUGUAGUACAGUGAAAAGUACAACAUGUACCUCCGAGAUGAAAUAUAGUAAAAAAUGAUUUAUGAAAUACUCAGGUAACUCAUUACAGGUAUUCUCAUUUGCGUUGGAGCUCAGUGCUUCAGGUACUAAAGGUUACUUUGCACCACAUGUGUACAAAUACUUGAUUCCUGCUGCAGUACCCAGAUGUGCCCGCUGGGGGCAGCAGAGCGUCACUUUCCUCUCAGCAGCUGCAGAAGAACCGACAGUCUCUCUACGAUUGUUUCAAGCCUAAAUGACUAUUUCACCUAAGUAAAAGUAUUAAUACAACAAAAUAUAAAUUCUCUAAACUAGAUCACUUAUAUUUAGAAAAUAUAGAAGUUUAAUGAAACUUUUUUCACAUUUCACUGACAAAAUCAAUCACAUUAUUUUGUAAGAAAAUACAUCAAAUAAUUUAAGAUUUUCAGGAGUUUUUGUUUGUACAUCAUGAAACAUGUUUGUGUUUUUGUACAAGGCAACUAGUUCAUAAAAUACUACAACGAUACAUAAAUAUUGCACCACUUUCAUCGAUAGAAAGAUACUUAACUCGCAUUUAUUCCGAUUAAACUCGUCCAGUUUGCAACUUCAUAACGUCAACAUCACAUCACAGGAUCGAUGACAAGGUGAUUAUUGAUGACAAACGUCGUCCCUCGUGAGACAAAACUCUCAUCGAUCAUCAGACAACUGAAACGUGUCCUUUGUUAAAUGAGCCUCAUCGGCAGCAUGAAAGCACUCAGCUGUGUGACGUCAUCACUUUUCUUCUUUUAAUUGGAUCAUUUGACAUGUUUUAAUGUAUGUGAAGUUUGUGUUUUGUCUACAAUCUAUAAGAAAUAACAUCGGUGGAGUACGUACUCCAAUUUUUUCCCUGAGGUAAAAGUACCUGUACUACAGGCUAUAAAUAUGUAUUUAAAAUCCUAAAGUACAGGAGUUACUACAAAUUUUGAGUAAUAAUUCAAUUUGGAUAAUUAAUGCUGAUGAUUAAAAACUACAAUAUUUAUGAAGUAUAACACAACAAUACAGUACAUUCACCUUAAAAACGUACGUAUGUAUAUAGUAUAUACCCAGUAUAUAUGGAGAUAUAUUUUAUUGUUUGAUUAUUAAUACUGUGGUAUAUUAUGUACAAAAGUAGUGGAGUAAAAGACAAAUAAGUAAAAGUAGUACAACAUUUAGAAUUAUACAGUAGUAUAAAAUAAAGUACCUGCAUUCAGUGACAUUCCACCUCACACAUUGACUCUGAGGGUGAAAACGCAUCAGACGACCCGUAAAGUCUGAAUAAUGAUUUUAUUUUUUUCACAGAGACAAAGAAACAAAAGCCUUCACAUUUAAAUAGAUUGUAACCGUCCAAUCAGUGACCUGCACAACAACAACAACAACAACGACCAUCACAGAACCUCACAGCGUGACCUCAGUAGUACUGCGGGUACGCGGCGUAGGGCGGGGCGUACUGGCAGAACGGGUCCAGGUGGAGCGAGGGGAGGGCGGGCGCAGCGGAGCCGUACUGCAGGCCGUGCGGAUGGAGGUAGGGGGCGGAGCCGGGGGCGGCGUCCUGCGGCGCCGGGGGGUACCGUCGGUAGGGGGCCGGCCUGCAGGCCUGCAGCUCGGGGUGGUGCAGGAAGCGGGAGGCGGCGUCGGCGUGGCAGGCGUGGGCGAGGGCGUCCUGCACCGUCCUCUUCAGCUUCAUCCGCCGGUUCUGGAACCAGUUUCUGAUCUGAGGAGAGAAAAACGUUUAGGAUCAAACAUCGAUGAUUAAUGCUAAACACUCAUUGGUGAUCACUGAUUGAUGAUAUUGAUACAUAUUGAUGACCCCCCCCCCCCCCCUCACCUGUUUAUCAGACAGCUGGAGCUUCUUGCAGAGCUCCGCCUUGUCCUGCGUCCCCAGGUAGGCGUUCCUCUUGAAGGACCUCUCCAGGCUGCCGAUCUGCUCCGCCGUGAAGGCCGUGCGGGGCCUCCUCCCCGGCGGGGGGGGGCGGCGGGGAGGCGGAGGCGGCGGAGGCCGGGG